This 225-nucleotide ribosomal RNA is filed under the name uncultured bacterium. RNAcentral describes it as "partial 16S ribosomal RNA". It matches the Rfam family "Bacterial small subunit ribosomal RNA", at positions 943 to 1167 of the family's 1533-position model. The record is from RNAcentral.
GGUUUAAUUCGAUGAUAACGCGAGGAACCUUACCCGGGCUUGAACUGCAGGAGAACGAUUCAGAGAUGAUGAGGUCCUUCGGGACUCCUGUGGAGGUGCUGCAUGGUUGUCGUCAGCUCGUGCCGUGAGGUGUCGGCUUAAGUGCCAUAACGAGCGCAACCCCUCUCCGUAGUUGCCAUCGGGUGAUGCCGGGCACUCUGCGGACACUGCCACCGUAAGGUGUGA